AAACCAUGAUGAGGGCAUGAUCUAAGCAUAUUUUUAAAUCUAUCCCAUGUUUCAUAGAGAGAUUUAGUGUCAGACUGUCUAAAGCUUGCAAUUAAAUUCCUCAUAU
This is a small nucleolar RNA of Zingiber officinale, 106 nucleotides long. NCBI's taxonomy places the organism in Eukaryota, Viridiplantae, Streptophyta, Magnoliopsida, Zingiberales, Zingiberaceae. The record is from RefSeq and is a predicted model, not a curated record.